UAAAAAAUUCAUAAAGUGCAAUAUAUUCUUGUAUUUUUUGCUCAUUAUCCAAAUAUGCUUGUAUUUUUGGCUCAUUAUCCAAAAAAUUCGGGAUCUGACGAAUAUUAAUUUGGCUCAUUAUCCAAAUAUGCUUGUAUUUUUUCGUUUUGGGCCAGCCGGCGCGCGAAGCUGGCGAGCUGUGACGCCCCAACUUUCCAGGGGGUCACCCAUCCUAGGACUACUCCCGUCCUAGCACGCUUAACUCUCUUAACCUCUUGGGCCUUGCCAUCACCCAAAAUGCUUAAGCCGGGUUAAGAGUUUAGCCCUAUUAUAUCUUAUAUAUAGGACUAUCUGGGGUCUCACAAUCUCCCCUCCUUUAAGCCCUGACGUCCUCGUCAGGCUCAGACUCACAAGUACCAGGCGAUGUGAGACUCGUCUCGCUAGCCCGUCAUCCAGACCCUGACUCAGCCGAGACUCAUCUCACACUUCCGGCUGGUAAUUGGCUCUGAUACCAUCUGUGACGCCCCAACUUCCCAGGGGGUCACCCAUCCUAGGACUACUCCUGUCCUAGCACGCUUAACUCUCUUAACCUCUUGGACCUUGCCACCACCCAAAAUGCUUAAGCCGGGUUAAGAGUUUAGCCCUAUUAUAUCUUAUAUAUAGGACUAUCUGGGGUCUCACACGAGCGCUCGAGGGUGCGAGCUGCGAGCGCGUGAGGGUGCGUGCGGGAGCGCGCGUGGGAGCGCGCGGGCGCGGGCAGCGCGGGUGCGAGGCGUUUUUUUGGACCGAAUAAUUCGGAGUUCGCGUAUAAUACGCGAACAAGUAUUUUUUGCCAAAAGUACGCGUUUUUUCCCCAUUUUUUAGAAAAAUACGAAUUCGACCGUUUAAUUCGUUUUUUCAAAAAUUCAUGAAUAAUUUGCGAAUUAACUAACA
This 912-nucleotide long non-coding RNA is filed under the name Ananas comosus (pineapple). RNAcentral's name for it is "long non-coding RNA (ACOM_LNC002271)". The record is from RNAcentral. Lineage: Eukaryota; Viridiplantae; Streptophyta; Magnoliopsida; Poales; Bromeliaceae.